Molecule: non-coding RNA, 71 nt
Organism: Macrostomum lignano
Lineage: Eukaryota; Metazoa; Platyhelminthes; Macrostomidae
Source: Rfam
GGGGUUGUAGCCUAGUGGUUAGAGCGUCGGCCUCACGACUGGAAGGUCGGGGGUUCGAUUUCCCGAUCCCA